Molecule: ribosomal RNA, 485 nt
Filed under: uncultured bacterium
Lineage: Bacteria
Description: partial 16S ribosomal RNA
Rfam family: Bacterial small subunit ribosomal RNA
Source: RNAcentral
AUUGAACGCUGGCGGCAGGCUUAACACAUGCAAGUCGAGCGGGGAGAUGUAGCUUGCUACAUAUCCUAGCGGCGGACGGGUGAGUAAUGCUUAGGAAUCUGCCUAUUAGUGGGGGACAACAUUCCGAAAGGAAUGCUAAUACCGCAUACGCCCUACGGGGGAAAGCAGGGGAUCUUCGGACCUUGCGCUCAUAGAUGAGCCUAAGUCGGAUUAGCUAGUUGGUGGGGUAAAGGCCUACCAAGGCGACGAUCUGUAGCGGGUCUGAGAGGAUGAUCAGCCAAACUGGGACUGAGACACGGCCCAGACUCCUACGGGAGGCAGCAGUGGGGAAUAUUGGACAAUGGGCGCAAGCCUGAUCCAGCCAUGCCGCGUGUGUGAAGAAGGCCUUUUGGUUGUAAAGCACUUUAAGCGAGGAGGAGGCUCCUUUAGUUAAUACCUAAAGAGAGUGGACGUUACUCGCAGAAUAAGCACCGGCUAACUCUGUG